Molecule: ribosomal RNA, 253 nt
Filed under: uncultured bacterium
Lineage: Bacteria
Description: partial 16S ribosomal RNA
Rfam family: Bacterial small subunit ribosomal RNA
Source: RNAcentral
UACGAGAGCCUCGAGCGUUAUCCGGAAUUAUUGGGCGUAAAGGGUGCGUAGGUUGUUCUGUUAGUCUUUUGUUAAAUCCCGGGGCUUAACCUCGGAGUCGCGAAAGAAACGGCAGAACUUGAAAGUGUGAGAGGCGUACGGAACUCAUGGUGUAGGGGUGAAAUCCGUUGAUAUCAUGGGGAACACCAAAAGCGAAGGCAGUACGCUGGCGCAUAUUUGACACUGAAGCACGAAAGCGUGGGUAGCGAAUGGG